GUUCUUAGCUCAUGAAAAGUCUUCCUUGCACAAUAAACAGUUUAAAUUGAAAGCAGGUCUUCAUAAGGAGCCUAUUAGCGGCUAUAAAUGUAGAAAAGAUGAACUCAAUUGGUAUAUUAAGAAAAUGGGUACCAAGAUAACUUUGUUUCUCGGGCAGGUUUUCUUGAUUUUCAUUCUCCUCUUGGCCUCUGCAAUGGGAGUAAGGGAUCUGCUAGAGUCUUCCAAGCCUCAUGUGACUGUCAAGGCGAUGGAUGAUCCUUGGGAUGGCCACUAUAGGACUACGACGCCUCCUGCCGUUCAUUAACUUCUUUUAAUGCAAUCUUCCGGUGGAAAAUCCCCUAAUUUUAAUUUGCAAUGCUUAAUUAAUUAAAUAAUUAUAAGAAAGGAAUAAUGAAGAUCAUUUGCUACAAUAAUUUAAUAUCUGCAAGUGGAUCUGUCGGCUGGAGUUCUUUCCUGGAUUCUGCCAAGCUAGCUCCCUCAAUUGCUAUUGGCGAUAUCUUCUAUCUGCUCGCUGAAGUUCUGAUGUGAACCUUGCCUUGUAUGGACUUGUAAAUUGUUGCUUAUUUAGAAUAAAAACGAAAAUGGAUGGUUUAUCUAAAACUUUACGA
This is a long non-coding RNA of Hevea brasiliensis (rubber tree), 608 nucleotides long. RefSeq lists it as uncharacterized. NCBI's taxonomy places the organism in Eukaryota, Viridiplantae, Streptophyta, Magnoliopsida, Malpighiales, Euphorbiaceae. The record is from RefSeq and is a predicted model, not a curated record. The transcript has 2 exons.